UACGGAGGGUGCAAGCGUUGCUCGGAAUCACUGGGCGUAAAGCGACCGCAGGCGGCCUGACAAGUCGGAUGUGAAAGCCCUGGGCUCAACUCAGGAAUUGCAUUCGAAACUGGUAGGCUCGAGUACGGGAGAGGGGGGUGGAAUUCCUGGUGUAGGGGUGAAAUUCGUUGAUAUCAGGAGGAACACCGGCGGCGAAGGCGGCCCCUCGGCCCGGCCAACCUGACGCUCAUGGUCGAAAGCGUGGGGAGCAAACAGG
This 256-nucleotide ribosomal RNA is filed under the name uncultured bacterium. Its description in RNAcentral is "partial 16S ribosomal RNA". It matches the Rfam family "Bacterial small subunit ribosomal RNA", at positions 524 to 776 of the family's 1533-position model. The record is from RNAcentral.